AACGAACGCUGGCGGCAGGCUUAACACAUGCAAGUCGAACGCGUGCAGCAAUGCACGAGUGGCGCACGGGUGAGUAACGCGUGGAUAUCUGCCUUUUGGUUCGGAAUAACCCCGGGAAACUGGGGCUAAUACCGGAUGGUUCCUACGGGAUAAAGAUUUAUCGCCAAAAGAUGAGUCCGCGUCCGAUUAGCUAGUUGGUGAGGUAAUGGCUCACCAAGGCGACGAUCGGUAGCUGGUCUGAGAGGACGAUCAGCCACACUGGGACUGAGACACGGCCCAGACUCCUACGGGAGGCAGCAGUGGGGAAUAUUGGACAAUGGGGGCAACCCUGAUCCAGCCAUGCCGCGUGAGUGAUGAAGGCCUUCGGGUUGUAAAGCCCUUUUGGCGGGGACGAUGAUGACGGUACCCGCAGAAUAAGCCCCGGCUAACUUCGUG
RNAcentral lists this ribosomal RNA (435 nucleotides) under uncultured bacterium. RNAcentral describes it as "partial 16S ribosomal RNA". It matches the Rfam family "Bacterial small subunit ribosomal RNA", at positions 29 to 507 of the family's 1533-position model. The record is from RNAcentral.